UACGUAGGGUGCGAGCGUUUAAUCGGAAUUACUGGGCGUAAAGCGCACGUAGGCGGACUAUUAAGUCAGGGGUGAAAUCCCGGGGCUCAACCCCGGAACUGCCUUUGAUACUGGUAGUCUCGAGUCCGGAAGAGGUGAGUGGAAUUCCGAGUGUAGAGGUGAAAUUCGUAGAUAUUCGCAAGAACACCGGUGGCGAAGGCGGGUCUCUGGGCAGUAACUGACGCUGAGGAGCGAAAGCGUGGGGAGCGAACAGG
Molecule: ribosomal RNA, 254 nt
Filed under: uncultured bacterium
Lineage: Bacteria
Description: partial 16S ribosomal RNA
Rfam family: Bacterial small subunit ribosomal RNA
Source: RNAcentral